This 1212-nucleotide long non-coding RNA is filed under the name Mus musculus (house mouse). RNAcentral's name for it is "long non-coding RNA chr5:43265156-43266368". Lineage: Eukaryota; Metazoa; Chordata; Mammalia; Rodentia; Muridae. The record is from RNAcentral.
GACUUAAUGGUUAAAGAUUACUAUUAUUGUAAGUCACUGUUGUAUGUCAAUAUUUAGUGCUCAUCAGCUUUUUAAGAAAGUCACAUUAUAUGCGGCUGUUUAAAAUAUCAGUUUUAAUUAUUUAGAAUGACAGUUAGAAUGUUUAUGUUUUUGAGCAUAUAAUCCUAACAUAUGUAAUAUCAGGGAAAAAGUAUUUUCUGCAGGAAUAAGGGAAAAUGUUAUGUAUGUCAAAUAUUUGUCUCUAUUUGGAUUGAAUUGCAUUUCCCCCCUUCUUUCCUAAAAGAAAAUUAGAUAUUUUUAUUAGUACAUUGACACAAAAGGGGAACAGACAGAACAAAGUAUGAGAUGAGGGACCUGGUGCUAGCAAGCUAGUUUGAAGUUUAAAUUUGCAUUUAUAAUCCAUCCAUAUACCAUUUAUGUGGUGACGCGCUUGUCUUAUUUUGGAGGUGAAAUGAAUCAUGGGUAUCUUUUAAUUAAGGAAAUUCACCCAGUGCAUAGUGUGCACACCUGCCAUCCUAGCACUGGGGAGGUAGGAGCAGGAGAAUCCGGAGUGUAUGAUAAUCCUCAACAGCAUAGUGAGGUGGAGACCAGCUUGGCUUGAUGAGACCCUGUGUCAAGAAAACAAGCCCAUUAUUGAUGCUGUACUUCUAAAGGUGGAUGCUCUAAUCUACUAUAUCAAUUUAUGAAGUGAGGAAACAUGGGUAGCCUUAAAUUGAGGCUGCUCACACCAGGGAGUGUGAAUGCAGUUGAUGAUGAUGUGGGAUUUUGAAGGGAGAUGUCAUUUGGAGCAUGGGUCUUUUUCUUUUCAGUUUUGCCCUGUGAAUGUUAGAGAAAUAAUACUGGCUUUAGCUUCUCAUCCAUAGAAUUUUAACCUCUAUUUCUAGCUUAUUUUGUAUUUUUCUUCCUAUGCUGAAGUAAUUUUGCUACACUGAGCUGAGAACCAGUAGUUAGGCCACAAAGCCCCUAAACAGCUGUUUUGUUUCCUUCUCGUUAUCUGGUUAGAACCUAAAGACCAUCAUCUGUACCCCUACCCCAAAUGUUAGCGUCCUUGGUAUAAAAGUCUUCAAACUACCUCAGAGCCUCCUUUUUAUAUAAAGAGUACCAGCAAUCUAUGAAGAGUUAGUUACUUCCUUAUAAAUGUUUUAUAAAAUAUAUUUUGAAGAAUAAAUCACUUGAAAUCAUACUGUUUUUGGAAAUCCAAACUGUUUAAAG